GCAGGAAGCCAGUGAUGUCUUAGCCGUGAUGUCUGAACCUGGCUGAAGAGCCCUUCUGAAGAAACACCUCUAGGCUCUGAGGCUUCCAGGGGA
This is a small nucleolar RNA of Rhea pennata, 93 nucleotides long. RefSeq annotates it as small nucleolar RNA SNORD91 family. NCBI's taxonomy places the organism in Eukaryota, Metazoa, Chordata, Aves, Rheiformes, Rheidae. The transcript has a single exon. The record is from RefSeq and is a predicted model, not a curated record.